GGCGGCAUGCCUAACACAUGCAAGUCGAACGGCAGCACAGUGUGUAGCAAUACACAUGGGUGGCGAGUGGCGGACGGGUGAGGAAUACAUCGGAAUCUGCCCGGUUGUGGGGGAUAACGUAGGGAAACUUACGCUAAUACCGCAUACGACCGAGAGGUGAAAGCGUGGGAUCCGCAAGGACCUCGCGCAGCCGGAUGAGCCGAUGUCGGAUUAGCUAGUUGGCGGGGUAAAGGCCCACCAAGGCGACGAUCCGUAGCUGGUCUGAGAGGAUGAUCAGCCACACUGGGACUGANACACGGNCCAGACUCCUACGGGAGGCAGCAGUGGGGAAUAUUGGACAAUGGGGGCAACCCUGAUCCAGCAAUGCCGCGUGUGUGAANAANGCCUNCNGGUUGUAAAGCACUUUUAUCCGGAAC
RNAcentral lists this ribosomal RNA (416 nucleotides) under uncultured Gammaproteobacteria bacterium. RNAcentral describes it as "bacterial SSU rRNA". It matches the Rfam family "Bacterial small subunit ribosomal RNA", at positions 38 to 446 of the family's 1533-position model. Lineage: Bacteria; Pseudomonadati; Pseudomonadota; Gammaproteobacteria. The record is from RNAcentral.